GACGAACGCUGGCGGCGUGCCUAAUACAUGCAAGUCGAACGCACAGUUUAUACUGUAGCUUGCUACACCAUAGACUGUGAGUUGCGAACGGGUGAGUAACGCGUAGGUAACCUGUCUGGUAGCGGGGGAUAACUAUUGGUAACGAUAGAUAAUACCGCAUAAUACUGAUUAUUGCAUGAUAAUUGAUUGAAAGUUGCUAUUGCAUCACUACCAGAUGGACCUUCGUUGUAUUAGCUAGUAGGUGAGGUAUCGGCUCAUCUAGGCGGCGAUACGUAGCCGACCGGAUAUGGUGGUCAGCCGCACUGGGACGGUGACACGGCCCAGUCGCCUACGGGAGGCAGCAGUAGGGAAUCGUCGGCAAGGGGCGAGAGUCUGACCAAGCUGCGCCGAGUGAGUAUAGAGGAUUGUCGGAUCGUAGAGCACUGUUGUAAGAGAGGAACGGGUGUGAGAGUGGAAAGUACACACUGUGACGGUAUCGUACCAAGAAGCAACGGCUAACUACGUG
This 505-nucleotide ribosomal RNA is filed under the name uncultured bacterium. RNAcentral's name for it is "partial 16S ribosomal RNA". It matches the Rfam family "Bacterial small subunit ribosomal RNA", at positions 28 to 507 of the family's 1533-position model. The record is from RNAcentral.